RNAcentral lists this ribosomal RNA (484 nucleotides) under uncultured bacterium. Its description in RNAcentral is "partial 16S ribosomal RNA". It matches the Rfam family "Bacterial small subunit ribosomal RNA", at positions 30 to 507 of the family's 1533-position model. The record is from RNAcentral.
AUUGAACGCUGGCGGCAGGCCUAACACAUGCAAGUCGAGCGGAUGAAGGGAGCUUGCUCCUGGAUUCAGCGGCGGACGGGUGAGUAAUGCCUAGGAAUCUGCCUGGUAGUGGGGGAUAACGUCCGGAAACGGGCGCUAAUACCGCAUACGUCCUGAGGGAGAAAGUGGGGGAUCUUCGGACCUCACGCUAUCAGAUGAGCCUAGGUCGGAUUAGCUAGUUGGUGGGGUAAAGGCCUACCAAGGCGACGAUCCGUAACUGGUCUGAGAGGAUGAUCAGUCACACUGGAACUGAGACACGGUCCAGACUCCUACGGGAGGCAGCAGUGGGGAAUAUUGGACACUGGGCGAAAGCCUGAUCCAGCCAUGCCGCGUGUGUGAAGAAGGUCUUCGGAUUGUAAAGCACUUUAAGUUGGGAGGAAGGGCAGUAAGUUAAUACCUAGCUGUUUUGACGUUACCAACAGAAUAAGCACCGGCUAACUUCGUG